RNAcentral lists this non-coding RNA (23 nucleotides) under Rattus norvegicus (Norway rat). The record is from RNAcentral. Lineage: Eukaryota; Metazoa; Chordata; Mammalia; Rodentia; Muridae.
UCCAAAUGAAAAUGAGGAAGAGC